RNAcentral lists this ribosomal RNA (371 nucleotides) under uncultured bacterium. RNAcentral describes it as "bacterial SSU rRNA". It matches the Rfam family "Bacterial small subunit ribosomal RNA", at positions 527 to 896 of the family's 1533-position model. The record is from RNAcentral.
GGAGGGUGCGAGCGUUGUCCGGAAUCACUGGGCGUAAAGGGCGCGUAGGCGGCCUGAUAAGUAGGGGGUGAAAUCCUGCGGCUUAACCGCAGGGCUGCCUUCUAAACUGGAAGGCUUGAAUCCGGGAGAGGGAUGUGGAAUUCCAGGUGUAGCGGUGAAAUGCGUAGAUAUCUGGAGGAACACCGGUGGCGAAGGCGGCAUCCUGGACCGGUAUUGACGCUGAGGCGCGAAAGCGUGGGGAGCAAACAGGAUUAGAUACCCUGGUAGUCCACGCCCUAAACGAUGAUGACUAGUUGUUGGGGGAGUUAAAUCCCUUAGUAACGCAGCUAACGCGUGAAGUCAUCCGCCUGGGGAGUACGGUCGCAAGAUUA